GGAGGGGACCUCCAGACAGUUCGCGAGGUUUUGGCCCUCUCUAAAGCCAAUUCCCCGGGGCUCAUUUUCUUAUCUGAAACUAGACAAGCCUCAAAUAAAAUGGAGCGACUUAAGUGGAGACUACAGAUGAAAGGUUUUGCAGGAGUAUCAAGUCAGGGUCUUAGUGGAGGCCUUGCUCUUUACUGGGAUGAGAGUUUG
RNAcentral lists this ribosomal RNA (198 nucleotides) under Triticum aestivum (bread wheat). RNAcentral's name for it is "partial small subunit ribosomal RNA". The record is from RNAcentral. Lineage: Eukaryota; Viridiplantae; Streptophyta; Magnoliopsida; Poales; Poaceae.